This 201-nucleotide microRNA precursor is filed under the name Oryza brachyantha (malo sina). Its description in RNAcentral is "MIR812 microRNA precursor family". It matches the Rfam family "MIR812 microRNA precursor family". Lineage: Eukaryota; Viridiplantae; Streptophyta; Magnoliopsida; Poales; Poaceae. The record is from Rfam by way of RNAcentral.
AAUAAGUGUAGUUUUACAUUGUUUAUAUUCGAUGUUUGAUUAUUUGUCUUAUUUAAAAUAUUAUUAGUAUUUUUAUUAUUAUUAGAUGAUUAAAUAUAAAUAAUACUUUACGUGUGACUAUCGUUCAAAAUUUUUAAAUAAAAUUUUCCAGUAAAACGAAUGGUCAAGCGUUGAACACUGAAAUCCAUAAAUGUAGUUAUA